This 253-nucleotide ribosomal RNA is filed under the name uncultured bacterium. Its description in RNAcentral is "partial 16S ribosomal RNA". It matches the Rfam family "Bacterial small subunit ribosomal RNA", at positions 524 to 776 of the family's 1533-position model. The record is from RNAcentral.
UACAGAGGCCUCGAGCGUUAGGCGGAAUCACUGGGCUUAAAGCGUGUGUAGGCGGAUUGGUAAGUACCUUGUGAAAUCCCACAGCUUAACUGUGGAACUGCUCGGUAUACUGCUGAUCUUGAGCCACUUAGGGGCUACCGGAACAAAUGGUGGAGCGGUGAAAUGCGUAGAUAUCGUUUGGAACGCCAAUGGUGAAAACAGGUAGCUGGGAGUGUGCUGACGCUGAGACACGAAAGCCAGGGGAGCAAACGGG